Long non-coding RNA from Ziziphus jujuba (common jujube), 2263 nucleotides. RefSeq lists it as uncharacterized. Lineage: Eukaryota; Viridiplantae; Streptophyta; Magnoliopsida; Rosales; Rhamnaceae. The transcript is spliced from 3 exons. The record is from RefSeq and is a predicted model, not a curated record.
UUCAUGAUCUUAGGCUAUAUGUAUCCCAAUAAAUAUGAAUAUAUACGGUUGGUUUUAACAAGUAUAACUAACAGAAAACUGAGCAGAACUUGUUUAUUUUAAACUCAAAACACUCAUCAUGAUAAUCUUGGCUUCAAUGCUCAGAUUAAUUAAUUAAUUAAUGAAAUAAUAGGAAAAACCAAACAUACAAGAGGCACAGAAAAAAUGGAACUGGAUUGCAUCUGGAUGACUGGAUUCACGAAUGACAAUCGUGCAAAAGCAUAUCAGAACUACAACGUCUCUUGCCACCUGAAUUGUCCUUAUUCCUUAAAACUAUUCAAUGACGCUACUUUUCCACCAAUGCCCACCCACUCCAGAGAUUCUUCUUUUCAUCAAAUGUUUUUUUUUUUUUUUUUUGGAUAUUUCCAAAUAAUUCAUUGCUUUAAAAUUGCAUUUUGUAUAUAUAUUAUGACAAUGCUGCCCUCUGUAGCACGCGACCAUCUUAGCAAAGGCCAAAGGGAAGGGAGGGGCAUCUUCUGUUUUUGAUUCCCUACGCCAUCUGUAAAGCAUUCCCUCAAAACCAGUAUAACUAUAAUGCCUUCAUUGCUAAGCUCUGUGCUCUCCUUCUCACUCACUCACUCUUACUCUCGUUAAUUUACAAUUGUCCGCCAGAGAUUAUAAUGGGGGUUGCAAAGCGGUCUCCGGUACUCUUAUUGAUAACGUUGGGCAUUGUUCAACUGUUUUUCUCUCACAGCACAGGGUCGAGGACUUUUGCCACUGAAAGCGAUCAGGUGAGACCUAAAUUACUCCAUCAGUAAGUAUAUCCAUCUGUGGUGAUUCGAUUUGUGCACGGUGAUGGUGCACACUAUUUUCUUUGUUUUAUGUGGAUAUUGUGAUUUGCAACGAAUAAAUGUAAGAAAUUUCGCACAGAUGGGACAUUGGCCAAUGUAAUUACUAAUUAUUAAUCAACCUGUGAAGGAGCUUUUGAGUCGCUUGAACAAGAUCCAGAAAACAUUGUGUUUUUCUUCAAGUAGGAAGCAGAUAGAGGGGAGGCUACAUGGUGCAUUGUGAAGCCUUCAACAGAAGGUGAGAAGCUUAGGCAGAACACUGAUUAUAGCUGCGACCAAAGUGGAGUGGACUGUAGGACCAUUCAACCAGGAGGCAGCUGCUUCAAUCCAGAUAACCCUGUCUCGCAUGCUUCAGUUGCCAUGAAUCUCUUCUACAAGGCAGCUGGGAAGCAUCCUUGGAACUGCCAUUUCGAUGGCACUGGUUUGAUCGUUUACCGGAACCCAUCUGUCGGAAAAUGUGACUAUCCGGCUUGAUGACGGAGCUCAAGGGCAAGGCGUCAAAUUUGUGGAAUUUAACAAAACAGCUGGUUUGGUUGUACUUAUAGACCAUUCAUAUUAUUAACUUAAAGGAUGAAUCUAGCAAACUUUGAGAGAGCUCUUUUGAAUAGAAACCUGAUGAGAAACUUUGGGACAAGGAAAUGUCACCAGCACUUUCUUUACAUUUGGAACUAUGCUUUACAUGGUGGUCAAACCGAUUAGUUCUACAUGGUUUACUCUAAAUUUUGAAAAGCUGCUUUUAUAUCAAUUCCCUUAUCUUUCCUUUCAACAAAACAAAGGUUCCCAGCGAUUGCGAAGAACUGCAGCCUACUCAUAUCAUAUUUGUCUAGUUCAGUGAUUGUGGAUUCAGGUUACAACACCAUACUCUUAAGAUGUGUUUGUGCAAAAGAAAGAGAGCGAGAGAGGGUUCUGCACUUAGAGACGUAAUUUUGAUGUCUAAACAAACGAGUCAUUUCGCUCCAAUCGGGGAGUGCAAGGGUGGGUGAGAUAUUAUGAGGAUUUGAUUCCUGAAAUGUCGUUAAAGUUGCUUUCAGCUUAUAGCAAUAGGACCGGACAAUGGAACAAGGCAAUCGUUUUUGAAAUUUGCUCUGAAUCUUUUGUGGACUUUGUCACCGUUUCUAGAUGCAAGAAUAGAUGCUUUUGUUCUGCCGUGUUUAACGGAUCUUUUCGAUUUCAUAGCAAAAAUAAAUGACGAAAUUAUAGGAUAAUGAAGGAAGAAUUAAAACAAAUAAUUCGUUUUUGACCAAAAAGAAACACAAGACUGGAUUUGCUGCUGCCCUGCUGCUCUAUUCUACAAGCAGUUACUAAUACACUACCAGUGCCAUAAACUUGGGCAAAAUUCUGUUCAUUACAGGACACUGACAAAUACAUCCAAUAAUAAUGAAAUAGAAAAAUAACCAAAAAUUAUAAAAAAAUAAAAUAAAAUAAAAUAAAAUAGG